UGCCAGCAGCCGCGGUAAUACGGAAGGUGCAAGCGUUGUUCGGAAUGACUGGGCGUAAAGCGCGCGUAGGCGGGAAAGCAAGUCAGUUGUGAAAGCCCAAGGCUCAACCUUGGAAUUGCAAUUGAAACUACUUUUCUUGAAUGCCUAAGAGGGUGGCGGAAUUCCAGGUGUAGGAGUGAAAUCCGUAGAUAUCUGGAGGAACAUCAGAGGCGAAGGCGGCCAACUGGACGAGUACUGACACUGAGGUACGAAAGCGUGGGUAGCAAACAGGAUUAGAUA
RNAcentral lists this ribosomal RNA (279 nucleotides) under uncultured bacterium. RNAcentral's name for it is "partial 16S ribosomal RNA". It matches the Rfam family "Bacterial small subunit ribosomal RNA", at positions 506 to 784 of the family's 1533-position model. The record is from RNAcentral.